CCAAACUUGGUCAUUUAGAGGAAGUAAAAGUCGUAACAAGGUUUCCGUAGGUGAACCUGCGGAAGGAUCAUUAACGCAUCUCUGGCGGGUUUCCGACGCGCCCUGCUCCGGCCGCAAAGCCGUGCAGCGGGCGUCCGGUUUCCCGUCCAACCUUCACAAACCCACUGUGCACGUUCACGGCAGAGGGCCCUCGGGGCGAGAGCUCUGGAGGUUUGAAGCCGCGUCACCAAACUCUUGUAAAUGAAUGUACUGCGGCCUCUGCGUCGCCUAAAAACGAAACAACUUUCAACAACGGAUCUCUUGGCUCUCGCAUCGAUGAAGAACGCAGC
RNAcentral lists this unclassified non-coding RNA (329 nucleotides) under uncultured fungus. RNAcentral describes it as "partial contains small subunit ribosomal RNA, internal transcribed spacer 1, and 5.8S ribosomal RNA". The stretch from base 1 to 73 matches the Rfam family "Eukaryotic small subunit ribosomal RNA", at positions 1759 to 1831 of the family's 1831-position model. Lineage: Eukaryota; Fungi. The record is from RNAcentral.